RNAcentral lists this long non-coding RNA (512 nucleotides) under Vitis vinifera (wine grape). Its description in RNAcentral is "long non-coding RNA (VVIN_LNC004967)". Lineage: Eukaryota; Viridiplantae; Streptophyta; Magnoliopsida; Vitales; Vitaceae. The record is from RNAcentral.
AACUUUAUCACAAGAAUGAAAAAAUACAGGACCUGCAAAUCAGUUCACUCUUAUGGUCUCACUAGAAUUAAUUAGAAGUAUAUUUUGGUGCUAGAGAAUUGUAAGAAUUUCUGAUUUUGGUGGCUCCCAUGGAGGAGCGAGCUUCAUUCAUCUAUAUAUGUUUACUGUCCAGUAGCCAUGACAACCGCCGGGGGAGGCAUGGCAUGACCUGCAAAUUUAUUCCGUUAUGGCAAGGUGGAGCGCCCUUUUCCGGGAUACAGCUGCAUGAACUGCUUCCAGAAGGAGGCACAGUACCUGAAUUCAGAGACUGUAAAGGGACAAGUCCUAUCUUGAUCCACUCUUCUUUCUCCCCAUCAAGAACCCUACCAGCACUGUGUGGCUGGACGCUCAGAACAAGAACGAAGUGCCGUGACAGCUAAAACAAUGUCCAGAAACCUCAUGAUCUUGGCGGGUUAAGCAAAGAGGAGAUGAUCAAAGAAAUAUUUUUAGCUGGACAAAUUAAUAUGCAUAUA